Molecule: ribosomal RNA, 497 nt
Filed under: uncultured bacterium
Lineage: Bacteria
Description: partial 16S ribosomal RNA
Rfam family: Bacterial small subunit ribosomal RNA
Source: RNAcentral
UCUUCCCUCUUGCUUCGUGCCUAAUACAUGCAAGUCGAGCGAACAGACGAGGAGCUUGCUCCUCUGACGUUAGCGGCGGACGGGUGAGUAACACGUGGAUAACCUACCUAUAAGACUGGGAUAACUUCGGGAAACCGGAGCUAAUACCGGAUAAUAUAUUGAACCGCAUGGUUCAAUAGUGAAAGACGGUUUUGCUGUCACUUAUAGAUGGAUCCGCGCCGCAUUAGCUAGUUGGUAAGGUAACGGCUUACCAAGGCAACGAUGCGUAGCCGACCUGAGAGGGUGAUCGGCCACACUGGAACUGAGACACGGUCCAGACUCCUACGGGAGGCAGCAGUAGGGAAUCUUCCGCAAUGGGCGAAAGCCUGACGGAGCAACGCCGCGUGAGUGAUGAAGGUCUUCGGAUCGUAAAACUCUGUUAUUAGGGAAGAACAAAUGUGUAAGUAACUAUGCACGUCUUGACGGUACCUAAUCAGAAAGCCACGGCUAACUACGUG